RNAcentral lists this ribosomal RNA (513 nucleotides) under uncultured bacterium. RNAcentral describes it as "bacterial SSU rRNA". It matches the Rfam family "Bacterial small subunit ribosomal RNA", at positions 15 to 518 of the family's 1533-position model. The record is from RNAcentral.
GAUUAUGGCUCAGGAUGAACGCUAGCUACAGGCUUAACACAUGCAAGUCGAGGGGCAGCAGGACGAUAGCUUGCUAUUGUUGCUGGCGACCGGCGCACGGGUGAGUAACGCGUAUCCAACUUCCCCUUAGUAGGGCAUAGCCCGGUGAAAAUCGGAUUAAUACCCUAUGUUGUGUCAUGAGGACAUCUGAAUAACACUAAAGAUUUAUCGCUAAGGGAUGGGGAUGCGUCCGAUUAGGUAGUCGGCGGGGUAACGGCCCACCGAGCCCUCGAUCGGUAGGGGUUCUGAGAGGAAGGUCCCCCACACUGGUACUGAGACACGGACCAGACUCCUACGGGAGGCAGCAGUGAGGAAUAUUGGUCAAUGGGCGCGAGCCUGAACCAGCCAAGUAGCGUGCAGGAUGACGGCCCUAUGGGUUGUAAACUGCUUUUAUACGGGGAUAAAGUGAGGGACGUGUCCCUUAUUGUAGGUACCGUAUGAAUAAGGACCGGCUAAUUCCGUGCCAGCAGCAGC